UGUUGCCUGAUGAUGUUGACUAUCAUACUCGGAAAUUCUUACGUCUGCAUCUAGAAAAGAAUGAUAUUCUCUUUCCUGAUGGUCUGGUGUGCCAAGACCUGCAUAACUUGUGGCUACAAUGCAACAAACAUGCACAACAAUUCUUAGGUGACUUCUUUGGUAUGUUUGUGAAUCUCAGAUUUCUACUGAUUGAAGAUAUGUUGUUUUCUUUAGAGCCACAGUUCUCUCUACGGCCCUUGGUUAAUCUCAGGACCUUGAUAUUAGAUGGUUGUGAGAUUACUCAUGUUUCCCAAACAAAUGCUAGUUUUUUCCCAGAAAACCUGGUAGCUCUAUACAUUUGGAAUUGCGAUCUCCCACGGCCACUGAAUUUACCAAUCCUGAAACAUCUUAGAAAGCUCGAAAUCCAAGGGUGGAGGAGCAAUAAUAUCCAAAUGGUGCCAAAUACUGUAUCCAGUAUGCCCAGUCUACAGGAAUUGCACAUACCAGGUGGAUACAANUCACCUUUUUCCUACUACAUCUUUGUUUUCGUUAGCAAUUUUUUAAGUCCCUGCAUCAUUCACUUGCUUCUAACUUUCAUAUUCAAGAAAUUCUCCUUUCUCCAGCCCUAUUUCUUCCUAUUCUCUCUUGGUAUUCAUUUCAUUGCAUCUUCAUCACCUUUUUCUUCUACAUCUUUGUUUUUUUCUUAAAUUCAAGCCAAAAUUAAUAAAAAAGGGGUUGAAAAGCAAGGAUAAUUAUGGUUGGUCUAUCUGACAUUCCCUGUGUGGGAAAGAACGUGGACAGGAUAUCCGAUGCAGCAGUUGACGCACUAUUUCGCGGAUUCAGUUAUAUGUUUUCUUACAAGAAUCAUGUUCAGGUUCUUGAAACCGAAAUUCAGAAACUUGACGCUGAGAUGGAUCGGAUGUCCAGAAAAGUCAGGGAAGAAAAAGAUAAUGGUAAAAUGAUCGUUGAUGGCGUGAGUACAUGGCAGGCAGAUGUAGAAGAAGUCAAGAAGAGUGCUGAAGAAAUUUUAGAAAAAUACAAAAACAGAUCUUCAUGGAGGUGCAUUCAGUGGAUGCCUAUUCCUAAACCAGUCUCCCGAUCCCGAUUGGGUCGGGAGGCAGCACACAAGGCCAAGAGAGUAAUUGAACUCUCUGAUUCUGCAAACAAUCUCUUGGCUAAUGGAAUUGCAUAUGGUUCUCCUGCUGAAAAUGCACCAAACACUGUAUAUCAGACUUUCAAAUCCAGAAGUGAUGCUUAUGACAAGCUAUGGAAAGCGCUUGUAAGUGAAGGUGGUUCUACUGUUCUUGGCAUCUAUGGAAUGCCUGGAGUUGGGAAGACGACAAUGAUGGAGAGUCUAUGGAAGGAAGCCCUUGAGAAAAAAAUCUUCGACAAGGUAACUCGGGCAGAUGUGGGCAAUGAAGACUUGGAUGUAUUUAAAUUGCAAAAACAAAUCGCGGACCAUCUGGAUUGCCAUUUAAAUCCGGAAGAUGAUGAGCAACACAGAGCUUCUCAACUGAAAAAGAGAUUAACGAAUGGAGAGAAGAUCCUCAUUAUACUAGACGAUGUAUGGAAGGAGAUCCCGUUGCAUCGUAUUGGAAUUUCAUUGGGCGAUGGUGAUAGUUCCACUCAUCGUAAGAUCCUUUUGACAUCCCGGAAGAAAAGAGUAUGCAUGGAUAACAAGUGCCUGCAUCCGGUAAAGAUUGCACCUCUUGGACCUGAAGAAGCAUGGCAAAUGUUCAGGAACACUGUUGUUCCUGAUAACAUUUACCUUCUUCCAGACGAAUCCCUGGCACUGGAGGUGUGCAACCAAUGUGGGGGAUUACCACUCCUAAUUCACGCGGUUGGUAAAGCUCUGCAAUUCACAUCUCCUGAUGUAUGGAAGGAUGCACUAAAUCAACUCGUGAUGGGCAACUUUGAAAAAAUUGCUGAUAUAGAUUCGAAUGUAUAUGCCUGUGUCAAACUGAGUUUUGAUAGAUUACCCGACGAUGCCAAGUCGUGUCUUGUUUUGUGUUCCUUGUAUCCAGAAGAUGCUAGCAUUUAUAUCAAUAAGCUGAUCCCGCUAGCAACAGGGUCACGGCUGGUACGCGGUGGAGAAGCUAGAAUACGUUCGAUGGUAGAGAUUCUCAGAUCAUCUUCCCUGUUGCUGGACUCUGAAGAUCAUAUAAUAAAAGUGCAUGACCUCAUCAGAGAUGUAGCUAGAUCCAUAGCCGUCAAAGACCCGAAAUAUUCGUUUUCACUUGUAAGAUGUGGCUCGCUGUUGCCUGAUGAUGUUGACUAUCAUACUCGGAAAUUCUUACGUCUGCAUCUAGAAAAGAAUGAUAUUCUCUUUCCUGAUGGUCUGGUGUGCCAAGACCUGCAUAACUUGUGGCUACAAUGCAACAAACAUGCACAACAAUUCUUAGGUGACUUCUUUGGUAUGUUUGUGAAUCUCAGAUUUCUACUGAUUGAAGAUAUGUUGUUUUCUUUAGAGCCACAGUUCUCUCUACGGCCCUUGGUUAAUCUCAGGACCUUGAUAUUAGAUGGUUGUGAGAUUACUCAUGUUUCCCAAACAAAUGCUAGUUUUUUCCCAGAAAACCUGGUAGCUCUAUACAUUUGGAAUUGCGAUCUCCCACGGCCACUGAAUUUACCAAUCCUGAAACAUCUUAGAAAGCUCGAAAUCCAAGGGUGGAGGAGCAAUAAUAUCCAAAUGGUGCCAAAUACUGUAUCCAGUAUGCCCAGUCUACAGGAAUUGCACAUACCAGGUGGAUACAAGAUUCAAGAUGAUGGAUGUGGAAAAAGUUUGGAUGCUGUUUCGGCACCAAUAUUGGGGGAGAUUAGUAAGUUGACUGGGCUGAAAAGUUUGCAGAUGUUCUUUUUCAGCAAUUCCGAGCAUUUUCAAGAUACAAAUAUAUUUGGUAAUUUACUUCAAUAUAAUAUAUCAGUGGGUGCAAAGCCGCAUGAUCGUCCUCUUAUAGAAUCCAGUGUUUCUAUCAAGAGAUUGAUUGAGCUGCAGGGUAGUGGUUUAGAAAGCUUAAAAGGUCUGAUUGAGAGGGCUGAAGAAGUAUCAUUGGAUUGCACCGACAUUCAUGUGGGUAGCAUAUACAAUAGCAACAGGGAAGCAUUUACAGAUUUGAAAAACUUGUACAUUAGAAAUUGUAACACUAUAGAAUAUCUUGCAAGGAUAUCAUGUGGUGAGAUUCAACAUUCAAGGUCUUUCGCAAAUCUCGGCGUCUUGGAAAUCAAAGAUUGUUCAGCAUUGAAAUACCUCUUCAGCAAAUCCGUUGCAAAAUGUCUCGUGCAACUGCAGGAGUUAGCCAUUGUAAGAUGUCCUGUGAUGGAAGCAAUUUUAAUGAAUGAAGGCACAAGUGAUAGAGAUGGCGUCAUCAGCUUCUGCAAAUUGAAGUUUUUAUCAAUAUAUAAUAUUCCGAGACUCAAAAGCUUCUGCAUGCAAAAUAAAGAUCUGCACUCCGGAUCAACAACACACAACUCCGCUAUCUCGAACAUUCAAGCUCAACCCC
RNAcentral lists this long non-coding RNA (3476 nucleotides) under Daucus carota (carrot). RNAcentral describes it as "long non-coding RNA (DCAR_LNC000841)". The record is from RNAcentral. Lineage: Eukaryota; Viridiplantae; Streptophyta; Magnoliopsida; Apiales; Apiaceae.